This 433-nucleotide ribosomal RNA is filed under the name uncultured bacterium. RNAcentral's name for it is "partial 16S ribosomal RNA". It matches the Rfam family "Bacterial small subunit ribosomal RNA", at positions 29 to 507 of the family's 1533-position model. The record is from RNAcentral.
AACGAACGCUGGCGGCAUGCCUAACACAUGCAAGUCGAACGAGAACUUCGUGUUUAUUGGCGCAGGGGGGGGUAACGCGUGGGAACUUGCCCUUAGGUUCGGAGUAACUCCCUGUAGGGUGUGUUCAUACCGGUUGAUGUCAUAGGACCUAGGAUUUCUCGCCUUUGGAUGGGCGUGGGUUGGAUUGGCCAGUUGGGAGGGUAAAAGCAUACCAAGGCGGCGUUCCAUGGCUGGUCUGGGAGGAUGAUCAGCCACAAUGGGACUGCGACACGGCCCAGACUGCUACGGAAGGGAGGAGUAGGGAAUAUUGUAGAAGGGGCGAAAGCCUGAUACAGCAGUGCCGGGUGAGACAUGAAGGCCUUAGGAUUGUGAAGCUCUUUUACACGAGGUGAUAAUGACGGUACCGGGUAAAUAAGCUCCGGCUAACUCCGUG